This 137-nucleotide small RNA is filed under the name Salmonella enterica. RNAcentral's name for it is "RtT sRNA". It matches the Rfam family "RtT RNA". From Rfam's summary of the family: This family represents a bacterial cis-regulatory element known as RtT RNA. Lineage: Bacteria; Pseudomonadati; Pseudomonadota; Gammaproteobacteria; Enterobacterales; Enterobacteriaceae. The record is from RNAcentral. RNAcentral also lists the same sequence under 4 other names.
UGCAUCUGGAGCCAGCGAGGAUGAGAGCCUCCGGGGGCAAGAGGUUCGACUCGAGCGAAGCGAGAGAACGUUGCGCGAGCAACGGCCCGCAGGGUGUGCCAUCCUCUAAUUGCUGACAUAUUCCAUUACUUUUGCCG